CGACCAUAGCUCCCUUCCUCAUCAUCACCAGAACCAGAACGGUUCCUGCGCUGCUCAUUAUCAUCAUCAUCAUCGUCAUUGCGACGACCAUAGCUAGGCUUCCUGUAACUCCCCUCUUCCUGUUCCUCAGACCUUCCAUAGCUAGGCUUCCUGUAACUCCCUUCCUCCUGAUCCUCAGAUCUUCCAUAGCUAGGCUUAAUGUAACUCUCCACCUGUUCCUCAGACCCUCCAUAACUUGGUUUCCUGUAACUACCUUCCUCCUGAUCCUCAGAUCUCCCAUAGCUAGGCUUCCUGUAACCUUCCUCUUGAUCCUCAGAUCUCCCAUAGCUAGGCUUCCUGUAACCUUCCUCUUGUUCCUCAGAUCUUCCAUAGCUAGGCUUCCUGUAGCCUUCCUCUUGAUCCUCAGAUCUUCCAUAGCUAGGCUUCCUGUAACUUCCUUCUUCCUGAUCCUCAGAUCUUCCAUAGCUAGGUUUCUUGUAACCUUCCUCUUGUUCCUCAGACCUUCCAUAGCUAGGCUUCCUGUAACCUUCUUCUUGUUCCUCAGACCUACCAUAGCUAGGCUUACGCUCAUACUCAGACUCUGAUCUGCCACCAUAUCCAGAUCCAAGACCCGAUUCAGGUCUCCUCCCAUACUCAACCUCAGUUCUUCCACCACCAGAUCCAUACUCCGAUUGAUUCUCCGUUCUACCACCAUAACUCUGCUCAGGUCUCCGACCAUACUCCGUCUCAGUUUCACCACCAUAUCCAGAUUCAGGCCUCCUACCAUACUCACUCUCCGUCUGACCACCAUAACCAGAUCCAGAUCCAUAACCAGGAUUCGGCCUCUCACCUUGAACAUGACCGCCACCACCUGAAUCGGGUCGAAAUGCGG
Molecule: long non-coding RNA, 871 nt
Filed under: Capsella grandiflora
Lineage: Eukaryota; Viridiplantae; Streptophyta; Magnoliopsida; Brassicales; Brassicaceae
Description: long non-coding RNA (CGRA_LNC001548)
Source: RNAcentral